GACGAACGCUCUUGGCGUGCUUAACACAUGCAAGUCGAACGGAAAGGCCCUGCUUUUGUGGGGUGCUCGAGUGGCGAACGGGUGAGUAACACGUGAGUAACCUGCCCUUGACUUUGGGAUAACUUCAGGAAACUGGGGCUAAUACCGGAUAGGAGCUCCUGCUGCAUGGUGGGGGUUGGAAAGUUUCGGCGGUUGGGGAUGGACUCGCGGCUUAUCAGCUUGUUGGUGGGGUAGUGGCUUACCAAGGCUUUGACGGGUAGCCGGCCUGAGAGGGUGACCGGCCACAUUGGGACUGAGAUACGGCCCAGACUCCUACGGGAGGCAGCAGUGGGGAAUAUUGCACAAUGGGCGGAAGCCUGAUGCAGCAACGCCGCGUGCGGGAUGACGGCCUUCGGGUUGUAAACCGCUUUCGCCUGUGACGAAGCGUGAGUGACGGUAAUGGGUAAAGAAGCACCGGCUAACUACGUGCCAGCAGCCGCGGUGAUACGUAGGGUGCGAGCGUUGUCCGGAUUUAUUGGGCGUAAAGGGCUCGUAGGUGGUUGAUCGCGUCGGAAGUGUAAUCUUGGGGCUUAACCCUGAGCGUGCUUUCGAUACGGGUUGACUUGAGGAAGGUAGGGGAGAAUGGAAUUCCUGGUGGAGCGGUGGAAUGCGCAGAUAUCAGGAGGAACACCAGUGGCGAAGGCGGUUCUCUGGGCCUUUCCUGACGCUGAGGAGCGAAAGCGUGGGGAGCGAACAGGCUUAGAUACCCUGGUAGUCCACGCUGUAAACGGUGGGUACUAGGUGUGGGGUCCAUUCCACGGGUUCCGUGCCGUAGCUAACGCUUUAAGUACCCCGCCUGGGGAGUACGGCCGCAAGGCUAAAACUCAAAGGAAUUGACGGGGCCCCGCACAAGCGGCGGAGCAUGCGGAUUAAUUCGAUGCAACGCGUAGAACCUUACCUGGGUUUGACAUGGAUCGGGAGUGCUCAGAGAUGGGUGUGCCUCUUUUGGGGUCGGUUCACAGGUGGUGCAUGGCUGUCGUCAGCUCGUGUCGUGAGAUGUUGGGUUAAGUCCCGCAACGAGCGCAACCCUUGUUCACUGUUGCCAGCACGUUAUGGUGGGGACUCAGUGGAGACCGCCGGGGUCAACUCGGAGGAAGGUGGGGAUGACGUCAAGUCAUCAUGCCCCUUAUGUCCAGGGCUUCACGCAUGCUACAAUGGCUGGUACAGAGAGUGGCGAGCCUGUGAGGGUGAGCGAAUCUCGGAAAGCCGGUCUCAGUUCGGGUUGGGGUCUGCAACUCGACCUCAUGAAGUCGGAGUCGCUAGUAAUCGCAGAUCAGCAACGCUGCGGUGAAUACGUUCCCGGG
RNAcentral lists this ribosomal RNA (1343 nucleotides) under uncultured bacterium. RNAcentral describes it as "16S ribosomal RNA". It matches the Rfam family "Bacterial small subunit ribosomal RNA", at positions 28 to 1378 of the family's 1533-position model. The record is from RNAcentral.